Molecule: ribosomal RNA, 873 nt
Filed under: uncultured archaeon
Lineage: Archaea
Description: bacterial SSU rRNA
Rfam family: Archaeal small subunit ribosomal RNA
Source: RNAcentral
UGCUAUCGGGAUGAGACUAAGACAUGCUAGUCGUGCGCCUCUAAGCCACGGUGGAGGCGCGGCGCACAGCUCAGUAACACGUGGCUAACCUGCCCUUGGGACAGAAACAUCCCCGGGAAACUGGGGCUAAUUUCCGAUAGGUGAAGAAUCCUGGAAUGGAUCUUCGCUCAAAAGACGUUUAGACCAUGCUUCUAGGCGUUGCCCAAGGAUGGGGCCGCGGCCGAUCAGGUUGUUGGUGAGGUAACGGCUCACCAAGCCUUUAACCGGUACGGGCCGUGGGAGCGGUAGCCCGGAGAUGGGAACUGAGACAAGGUCCCAGGCCCUACGGGGCGCAGCAGUCGCGAAAACUCUGCAAUACGCGAAAGCGUGACAGGGUCAUCCCGAGUGCCGUCCGCUGAGGAUGGCUUUUACCCAGUGUAGAUAGCUGGGGGAAUAAGGAGAGGGCAAGUCUGGUGUCAGCCGCCGCGGUAAUACCAGCUCUUCGAGUGGUGGGGACGUUUAUUGGGCCUGAAGCAUCCGUAGCCUGCUGGACAAGUCCUUCGUUAAAUCCAGCGAUUCAAUCGUUGGACUGCGGGGGAUACUGUUCGGCUGGGAGAUGGUAGAGGCCAACGGUAUUCUCGGGGUAGGGGUGAAAUCCUAUAAUCCCGGGAAGACCACCAGUGGCGAAAGCUGUUGGCUAGAACAUGCUCGACGGUGAGGGAUGAAAGCUGGGGGAGCGAACCGGAUUAGAUACCCGGGUAGUCCCAGCUGUAAACGAUGCACGCUAGGUGUUAGGGCGGCCACGUGCCGCUCUAGUGCCGCAGGAAGCUGUUAAGCCUGCCGCCUGGGGAGUACGGCCGCAAGGCUGAAACUUAAAGGAAUUGCGGGGAGCAC